AUGAUCAAUAUUAGAGAGUAUGGGUACGACUCAUCACCGAAGGAGCAAGUAAUGAUAGAUUACGAAUCUCUCAGGUAAAAGGAUAAUAUUGUGACG
RNAcentral lists this non-coding RNA (96 nucleotides) under Staphylococcus pseudintermedius. RNAcentral describes it as "Glycine sequence". It matches the Rfam family "Glycine riboswitch aptamer". Rfam says of the family: This family represents the bacterial glycine riboswitch. Lineage: Bacteria; Bacillati; Bacillota; Bacilli; Caryophanales; Staphylococcaceae. The record is from RNAcentral.